This 404-nucleotide ribosomal RNA is filed under the name Fusobacteriota bacterium. RNAcentral describes it as "Fusobacteria bacterium partial 16S ribosomal RNA". It matches the Rfam family "Bacterial small subunit ribosomal RNA", at positions 355 to 776 of the family's 1533-position model. The record is from RNAcentral. Lineage: Bacteria; Fusobacteriati; Fusobacteriota.
UGGGGAAUAUUGCACAAUGGAGGGAACUCUGAUGCAGCGACGCCGCGUGAGUGAUGAAGGAAUUCGUUUCGUAAAACUCUGUUCUAUGGGAAGAAAAGGACUGUACCAUAGGAGAAAGCUCCGGCUAAAUACGUGCCAGCAGCCGCGGUAAUACGUAUGGAGCGAGCGUUGUCCGGAAUUAUUGGGCGUAAAGGGUGCGCAGGCGGCUUUACAAGUUGGAUGUGAAAUACUGUGGCUCAACCACAAACGUGCAUCCAAAACUGCAAAGCUUGAGUUAAGGAGAGGUAAGUGGAAUUCCUGGUGUAGCGGUGGAAUGCGUAGAUAUCAGGAGGAAUACCGGUGGCGAAGGCGACUUACUGGACUUAAACUGACGCUCAGGCACGAAAGCGUGGGGAGCAAACAGG